UGUGAUGCCCUUAGAUGCUCUGGGCCGCACGCGCGCUACACUGACAGAGACAACGAGUUCAUCUCCUUGACCGGAAGGUUUGGGUAAUCUUGUUAAACUCUGUCGUGCUGGGGAUAGAGCAUUGCAAUUAUUGCUCUUCAACGAGGAAUGCCUAGUAAGCGGUCAUCAG
This 169-nucleotide ribosomal RNA is filed under the name Cladonia arbuscula. RNAcentral's name for it is "partial 18S ribosomal RNA". It matches the Rfam family "Eukaryotic small subunit ribosomal RNA", at positions 1463 to 1631 of the family's 1831-position model. The record is from RNAcentral. Lineage: Eukaryota; Fungi; Ascomycota; Lecanoromycetes; Lecanorales; Cladoniaceae.